CCUACGGGAGGCAGCAGUAGGGAAUAUUGGGCAAUGGAGGCAACUCUGACCCAGCCAUGCCGCGUGCAGGAUGAAGGCGUUAUGCGUUGUAAACUGCUUUUAUAUAGGAAGAAAGAGUUCUUGCGAGAACAGUUGACGGUACUAUAUGAAUAAGCACCGGCUAACUCCGUGCCAGCAGCCGCGGUAAUACGGAGGGUGCAAGCGUUGUCCGGAUUUAUUGGGUUUAAAGGGUGCGUAGGCGGUUUAUUAAGUCAGUGGUGAAAGACGGUCGCUCAACGAUUGCAGUGCCAUUGAUACUGGUAGACUUGAGUGAGAUUGAGGUAGCUGGAAUGGAUAGUGUAGCGGUGAAAUGCAUAGAUAUUAUCCAGAACACCAAUUGCGUAGGCAAGUUACUAAGUCUCAACUGACGCUGAGGCACGAAAGUGUGGGUAUCAAACAGGAUUAGAUACCCUGGUAGUCCACACUGUAAACGAUGAUAACUAACUGUUGGCUUUCGGGUCAGUGGUACAGAGAAAUCGUUAAGUUAUCCAACCUGGGGAGUUACGCCGGNAACGGUUGAAACUUCAAAUUGAAUUGACGG
This 580-nucleotide ribosomal RNA is filed under the name uncultured bacterium. RNAcentral describes it as "bacterial SSU rRNA". It matches the Rfam family "Bacterial small subunit ribosomal RNA", at positions 338 to 916 of the family's 1533-position model. The record is from RNAcentral.